RNAcentral lists this ribosomal RNA (497 nucleotides) under uncultured bacterium. Its description in RNAcentral is "partial 16S ribosomal RNA". It matches the Rfam family "Bacterial small subunit ribosomal RNA", at positions 28 to 507 of the family's 1533-position model. The record is from RNAcentral.
GAUGAACGCUGGCGGCGUGCCUAAUACAUGCAAGUCGAGCGAACGGACGAGACGCUUGCUUCGCUGCUGUUAGCGGCGGACGGGUGAGUCACACGUGGCUAACCUACCUAUAAGACUGGGAUAACUUCGGGGAACCUUAGCUCAUACCGGAUAAUAUUUUGAACCGCAUGGUUCAUAAGUGAAAGACGGUCUUGCUGUCCCUUGUAGAUGUAUCCGCGCUGCAUUAGCUAGUUGGUAAGGUAACGGCUUACCAAGGCAACGAUGCAUAGCCGACCUGAGAGGGUGAUCGGCCACACUGGAACUGAGACACGGUCCAGACUCCUACGGGAGGCAGCAGUAGGGAAUCUUGCGCAAUGGGCGAAAGCCUGACGGAGCAAUGCCGCGUGAGUGAUGAAGGUCUUCGGAUCGUAAAACUCUGUAAGUAGGGAAGAACAUAUGUGUAAGUAAAUGUGCACAUCUUGACGGUACCUAAUCAGAAAGCCACGGCUAACUACGUG